AGUCGUAACAAGGUUUCCGUAGGUGAACCUGCGGAAGGAUCAUUGUCGUGACCCUUAAACAAAACAGACCGUGAACAUGUCAUCCAUGCUGCCGGGCUUCGGCCUAGCCUUGGCCCCUGUCCUCUAUUUCAGAGGACACGGGCCACAAAAGAACCCACGGCGCCGAAGGCGUCAAGGAACACUAAUAUUGCUUUGCUCGGUGCUACGAUUGGCUUGCCACUCGUGCAGCGAUGCUAUAUGAAUCAACACGACUCUCGGCAACGGAUAUCUCGGCUCUC
This 278-nucleotide unclassified non-coding RNA is filed under the name fungal sp. RNAcentral's name for it is "partial internal transcribed spacer region". The stretch from base 1 to 45 matches the Rfam family "Eukaryotic small subunit ribosomal RNA", at positions 1787 to 1831 of the family's 1831-position model. The record is from RNAcentral. Lineage: Eukaryota; Fungi.